Non-coding RNA from Odocoileus virginianus texanus, 414 nucleotides. The record is from RefSeq and is a predicted model, not a curated record. NCBI's taxonomy places the organism in Eukaryota, Metazoa, Chordata, Mammalia, Artiodactyla, Cervidae.
CUCCUCUCCCUCCCCACCCCCACACCGUACUUCCUUCCCUCUCCCCUCCACCCGCGGCGGCCGGAGCCGCCGAGCCCGGUGUACAAUUCGAGUAAGAUAAGCAGGACAAUUCCGCAGACCUAGAAGGAAAGUUCCUUACGCUAUGAUUGAUCGCAUGAUGUAAUUGUUACACUUCAUGCAGAGUAGUAGAAGAAAAGAGGACAAUGCCUAUUCGCUAAAAGCAUCCCGCGCUGUUCUAAAUACUUUAUGGUGGCUUUUGUCAUCGUCUCAACUUCUUGUACAGAUGAGGAAACUGAAACACACAGAGAAGAGUAAUCUGCCCAAGUUAGAGCUGCGACUCCACACAGGCAUCCCACUGCAGAGUCCUUUUAAUUUUUAAAUUUUUUGACUAGGUAAGACAUUCACAUAACUUAA